CUCUGUAGACCAAUCACAGCACAACUGUGUUGCGGUGCUACGAACAGAAUUGGAGCUGCUCAGGGCAGAGAUGUGGGGUAAGGUGGAGGAGGUGAGGCGUGAGAUGGAGUCGAGGCUGGACUCUCAGAGGAGACACAUGGUGCAGAAAGAGUCUCUGCUGAAGAGCGAGGUGGAGGACCUCAAGGGCCAGGUGUCGAGGGUGGUGUGUGAUGUGCGGGCUCUCUUG
Salmo salar (Atlantic salmon) is the source of this 226-nucleotide non-coding RNA. The record is from RefSeq and is a predicted model, not a curated record. Lineage: Eukaryota; Metazoa; Chordata; Actinopteri; Salmoniformes; Salmonidae.